This is a long non-coding RNA of Rosa rugosa (rugosa rose), 2967 nucleotides long. RefSeq lists it as uncharacterized. NCBI's taxonomy places the organism in Eukaryota, Viridiplantae, Streptophyta, Magnoliopsida, Rosales, Rosaceae. The transcript has 8 exons. The record is from RefSeq and is a predicted model, not a curated record.
UGCUGCCACAAUCAUUUCUUUCUGCCUUAGCCACCGCACCACAGCAGCGGAUGCGUUAUCUUCGUCUUCAGUUUGGAUUUAAAUAAGCUGAAUGAGGAAUUUUGCUGAUUCUUCUUCAAGACUUUGACUUUCUCCACAAGAUUUCACAAUCUUAAUUGUUCACCCGAUCGGAGCUCCACCUGUAGUAGUUCUAAAGUCCUAUUGCGUGGAAGUGGGGUUUUAACUUCUCAAUCAGCCUACCAGAGCAUUGGAAGUAAAAGGUUAUGUUCAUCAACAUAUGAGUUUGGGCGGAGGUGCUCAAAGACUUCAAUUCAUCCCAGAAUUGUGCCAGCCAUUAGAGCAGCCCAUGCUUUAGGUCCGUUGAAACAAAGAGAGAAACAGGGAAGCAAGGACCAAAAUCCAAACCUUACACAGAAGGAGGAAUAGGACCUGCGUCAAACAACAAAAGCUGAGAUAAGGAAAGAGGGGGAUUGAGAAUCCAAUCCGGAGGACACACUUUCCUAUAAGCAAGACGAGCAACACAAUGUGCCACUGCGUUUGCAAUCCUGCUGGACCAAGUCCAGCUAACUGAAAACAAAAGAUCUAGAUAAAGCUGCAAUAGCUUGAACAACUGGAGCAACAGACCAAUCUACCACCUCCGAAUGAUUGUUGAGAGCAUUGAUAAGAUAUAGCGAGUCUGAUUCCAUAACAAUGGAAGAAAGAGAUAAAGAGGAAGCAAGAGAGAGAGCUUCCAAUAUAGCUAAACCUUCUGCAACGAUUGCCUAAAUUGCCGGCACUGGUUUAGCAGAACCAACGAAGAGAUGCCCAGUAGAGUCGUGAAACAAGGCUGCAAUACCUCCACAGACAGAAGGACCAUCCCAAGCCGCGUCCAUGUUCACCUUUACACUUCCCAGCUCUGGAGGAAUCCAUCGUGGAGGAGACAAUGUAGAAGUGUGGUGCAACACUGUAGAAGAAUUGGAGAGAAGAUGAAGGAACUCUAGAGUUGCUGAAUGAGCCUUCCGAGCAACCAGUAAUGGAUUUGGGGAGCAAUGGUCAAAGACGCAUGCACAUUUGGCUUCCAAAUGUGCCAAACCAUAAAGGCCAUAUGAGAAAGCAAAUGAGAAGAAACAUGAGGGGCAGACUGAGAAAGGCCAAUCAGGUCCUCAAACCAACUAUCCAAAGCAGUAAUGGAUCUUAGUGGCACUUUGUAACUCACCAGAAAUAUGGACUUGUUUGAACAGUCAAUUCUAAACUACUCUUAAUGAAUGGCUUAUUCAUUUUUUAAAAGGUAAUUUAGCCUUUUUGAACUCUCUCACUCUCUCUCUCUCCCUCUCUCCCUCCCUGUCUCUUUCCCACCCAUCCUCUCCCCUACCCACACUACUAGAAUUUUGCUCUUAGACAUCAUGGCAAUCACAUCGGUGAGGAAUUCACGCGAUGUAAAAAAAUGUCAUUAACAUCGAUUCCUCAAAUUCCGAUUUAUAUGUAUAUAAUUGACAUCGUUUAUUACUGUUGACUGAUGUCUACACUUUGAUUCAAAAAUUUACAAAAACGCGGAAAGACUAAGUUAAAAACUUUCGGGUACGCGGGGAACAAAAUUUUCAUUCCCCCCACACUUUAUUAUUUUUCCUACUUUUAUCUCACUCACUUUCAUCGUUUUCUCUCUCGCUCUUGCCCGAAACUCAAGCCCUCUCCUCCUUCCUCUCCCGCCCUCUUAAUUUCUACGGCCACCAUCGCCUUCCUCUCCGCUCACUCCCGCUACUGUCUCUCUUUCCUUAACCACCUCCAACCCCUCGUCGGCGCUAUCGCCUCCACCCGCAAGCUAUCUCUCUCUCUCUCUCUGUCUCUCUCUCUAUCUCUCUCUCAAGCUUUCUAGGAUCUCAGAAGAUUUCAAUCUGGCAAAGCACCCUCUACAACAGGUUUCAAUCUGAAUUAAUUGAGUUAAUGGUGAGUCACUGCAACUGAAUUCUUUGUUUUCUGUUUAGGUCCUGAGAAUUUUGGGGGUUUUCAAUUUUAGGGUUUUAAUUAUAGAUGGGUGGAGAUUUGGGGAUUCCUACGUUCCCUGAAGAAGACUGGGAGCCCAAUAUAAUCACAUGAUAAAAUGGGUUGGUGAAUCUGAACCUUUGAGCUGAUCAUCGAAUGGUAUUCCUUUUGAAUUUGAAUGUUGGCAUCUGGGUUUUAAUUCUCUUGGUAGCUGAUUUGUAUGUUGGUACCCGUGCAAGCCGAGAGGUAAACUGAGCUUUCUUGUACAUGUCACAAAGUUCAUAUAUGAUUAGCGUUUGAUAAUAUGAUUUUACUUGCAUUGUUAGUUCAAAGGCAUGUCCCUCUUGGAGCAUCUGUUGCUGAUUUGUAUGCAGGAGCAGGUCUGUGAGAUGCAUUGAGAUUAACAAAGAAUCAAAGCUAUCCUUUGAGAAGACGGUUGCCCGCCUGCCAAACAUAGUAGAUAGCAGCAUCAGCUGGCAUCAUGCAGACACUUCUAAGUUGGGACUUGAAAUUUGCAUAUAUUGAAGAAGUUGGGAAGACCAGGUUUGGGAGUUUAAGGAUUUUACUAACCAACUCCAACAUCUUCUGCAGCUGCAACUGAAACAAUCACCUUUCGAACAAUUGGAGCACUUACUAUUUUGAACAACCACCAGCAACAACUUUUGCUAGAUUAACUUAUAGCCCUUUUGUAGAGCUAGCAUUUUUGCACCAGCUCCAGUUGAAUGGACUUCAACUAAAAGCAAAGCGCGGGUAAUUCAUUAAUAACGGUACAUCCUGCAGCAAAGCGCGGGGAAGUUUUCUAGUAUAUACUAUGAAGCAAUCUGGAUACUUGAUGUUUCAAGAAAGGUUGUAGUUUUACUUAAUUUAUGAUGUACUUAAGGAAAUAAGAUGUAUUGAUUCGAUUUUGGCGUGGUUUGUAUGUCCAAAAUCUGUUCACUAGCUGAUGCUUUAAGAUUGUGUAUAAUCAGAUUGCUUGAAUUAAUGCAAUGCCCCAUAUUUAAGAAGCGA